UGUGAAGUCAAUGCAAGAACCAGACUUGCAACCACCCCUUUAAAAGCUGCACCUUCACAACUGCCCAAUAACGACAGCUAUAGGUGGCUUAGUCUCAUCUCUUCUGCGUAUAUAUAUACAUAUCUCCGAUACAACACAUUCAACAUAGUAUCAUCAAUGAAACCGACGUCGUAUCUCUUCUUGCUUGCCAUCUUGUUCCUGCACCAACCCGUUUUCACACAAUGUGUGGAAAACCCCUUCUCUUCCGACGAUGCUUCUAUCUUGAAGACGGCACCGUUUUUACAUACAACUACUACUCCCGUUGCUGAUGUGAAAAAAGAAAGCCUGCCGGCGCCGCCUCCUCCAGAAAAACAUCGCUCUCCUCUCGAGAAGAUGCUGCCACCACCUGCGCCGCCGCUGUCGCCGCCGCCACCGCCACUGCCUCCGCCUCCUCCUCCGUCGCCUCCUCCUCCGCCGCCACCGCCGCUGCCUCCGCCGCCUCCUCCGUCGCCUCCUCCUCCUCCGCCGCCGCCGCCGCCGCCGCUGCAACCAGCUCAUUUUAAAUUUUGAAUUCUUGCAAUUUGUUGCUCUCAUGUUUAGAUAUCUCCGAAACAACUCCACCACACAUCCAACAUUAGUAUCAUCAAUGAAACCGACGUCGUAUCUCUUCUUGCUCGCCAUCUUGUUCAUGCACGAGGCCAUUUUCACACAAUGUGUGGAAAACCCCUUCUCUUCCGACGAUGCUUCCAUCUCGAGGACGGCGCCGUUUUCACGUACAACUACUACUCCCGUUGCUGAUGUGAAA
Molecule: long non-coding RNA, 784 nt
Organism: Salvia miltiorrhiza (redroot sage)
Lineage: Eukaryota; Viridiplantae; Streptophyta; Magnoliopsida; Lamiales; Lamiaceae
Exons: 2
Source: RefSeq, a predicted model, not a curated record